AGUGAACGCUGGCGGUAGGCCUAACACAUGCAAGUCGAACGGCAGCACAGUAAGAGCUUGCUCUUACGGGUGGCGAGUGGCGGACGGGUGAGGAAUACAUCGGAAUCUACUUUUUCGUGGGGGAUAACGUAGGGAAACUUACGCUAAUACCGCAUACGACCUACGGGUGAAAGCAGGGGAUCUUCGGACCUUGCGCGAUUGAAUGAGCCGAUGUCGGAUUAGCUAGUUGGCGGGGUAAAGGCCCACCAAGGCGACGAUCCGUAGCUGGUCUGAGAGGAUGAUAAGCCACACUGGAACUGAGACACGGUCCAGACUCCUACGGGAGGCAGCAGUGGGGAAUAUUGGACAAUGGGCGCAAGCCUGAUCCAGCCAUACCGCGUGGGUGAAGAAGGCCUUCGGGUUGUAAAGCCCUUUUGUCGGGAAAGAAAAGCAGCAGGUUAAUACCCCGCUGUUCUGACGGUACCCAAAGAAUAAGCACCGGCUAACUUCGUG
Molecule: ribosomal RNA, 492 nt
Filed under: uncultured bacterium
Lineage: Bacteria
Description: partial 16S ribosomal RNA
Rfam family: Bacterial small subunit ribosomal RNA
Source: RNAcentral